RNAcentral lists this ribosomal RNA (468 nucleotides) under uncultured bacterium. RNAcentral describes it as "partial 16S ribosomal RNA". It matches the Rfam family "Bacterial small subunit ribosomal RNA", at positions 28 to 507 of the family's 1533-position model. The record is from RNAcentral.
GACGAACGCUGGCGGCGUGCUUAACACAUGCAAGUCGAACGGAAAGGCCCUGCUUUUGUGGGGUGCUCGAGUGGCGAACGGGUGAGUAACACGUGAGUAACCUGCCCUUGACUUUGGGAUAACUUCAGGAAGCUGGGGCUAAUACCGGAUAGGAGCUCCUGCUGCAUGGUGGGGGUUGGAAAGUUUCGGCGGUUGGGGAUGGACUCGCGGCUUAUCAGCUUGUUGGUGGGGUAGUGGCUUACCAAGGCUUUGACGGGUAGCCGGCCUGAGAGGGUGACCGGCCACAUUGGGACGGAGAUACGGCCCAGACUCCUACGGGAGGAAGCAGUGGGGAAUAUUGCACAAUGGGCGGAAGCCUGAUGCAGCAACGCCGCGGGCGGGAUGACGGCCUUCGGGUUGUAAACCGUUUUCGCCUGUGACGAAGCGUGAGUGACGGUAAUGGGUAAAGAAGCACCGGCUAACUACGUG